RNAcentral lists this long non-coding RNA (661 nucleotides) under Sinocyclocheilus grahami. RNAcentral's name for it is "lncRNA (ENSSGRG00000039801.1)". The record is from RNAcentral. Lineage: Eukaryota; Metazoa; Chordata; Actinopteri; Cypriniformes; Cyprinidae.
GAAUGCAUUACUCAAAAGUGUGAGCUGAGAGACUAGGCGCUUUCGCAUCGCGUAGUUCAAGGAACUAGCCAGCAGGAUCGUUCCUAGAGAACCAGUUUCUCCCUCGGGCCGUUUUCCUGGUUGCAUUCGCACCGGCAGCAGGAACUCUGAAGCAAUCAACCGUGACGUCUUUAUUAUAUGAACAACCGGUUGAUACUAAAUCUCCUAUGACAAUUUGUAGUGUUAUCAUCGAGGCUGAGAAAAGAACACAACGCUGCAGACAACAGAAUGCCCUGCAAAUCAGGAAAUAACGUGUGAGAGCCUGCGCUCGUCCCAUGGAUACAUAUACACUGUGCCGCCGGAGAUCCCGUGCUCUGAAAAGUGCGAACAAGGAUGGUACUAUCAGGUGGGAACGUUUGCUGUUCUGAAUUUAAUUGUUAUAGGCUCUAGUUAUCAUUUAAAAACAGCCAAAUGUUUAGUAACUCCUCGGUUUGUUGUUGUCUGUAUAGAAUGGGACGUUUAUUGUCGACUCGACUCUGAAUGCCGGUGGAAGGAGGUUACCGGUUGUAGUGGAUGUAACUCCUCAGAAUCUGACCAUCCGUGUCUGCGACAACCUGCAGUGGCAACUUGACUGUGGCAAGUGUAACUGUAUUAUCAAUUAUACAGGUAAGCAUUAUGAAGC